GCGGCCGGAACCCGGCGGCGACGAGGGAUUCGACACCGCCAGGCACCGAGGUCCCGCGGCGACGAAGAAACCCUUCGGAUCCUCCUGGUAUUCACCGCCCUCGGCGGACGACGCCGAGGCGCGAGGACAUCGAUGGCCCACGAGCCCCUUCAGCCAUGCGCGACCGCGACUGCGUUUGCACGGCGCGACAGUGCGGGGACGAGCAACGCAUCUAGUUGCACGGCGCGACGGCGACCUUGCGGGGCAUCUAACCGCGGCAGCAAGCGGCGCAGCGCCUCCGGUGCGGGGCGGAGAGCGGAGGCCGGCCGCAGCGCCGAGCUUCGUCACAGCAAGGUGCUUGUUGUAUUACCUGGGUGAGCACCUUUGGAAGUUGGGAUCUCUAGAUCACUGGAAGGAGAUGAAAAAAGGUAGUGAAGUCAGGCAAGGUGCACUCUAUAUAAUAAAGCUACAACAUGUAUACCAUUAACAACUUGAGUGGAGUAAUCUGAAGAUUCUGCAUUCAGUUAUCAGUUUCUUCUGUAGCAGUGUUUCCUUUCAGUUUCAUCAGGAACCUGAUUCAGUUUCGUCAGACUUUGGAGAGCAUAGCAACUCGGCUUCCACAUCGCUCAAGCUGAUGACUUCACUUCAAUGCUUAAGCGCAUUUUCUUUGUUUUGCCGGACUUACAGUAUUAGUCCCCUUAAAUCUAAUUGCUUAACGUAAUUACUGUACUUUUCACACACACAGAAUGUUGUACUGAACAUCAUCGAGAUGCAGAACUAGUAAACUCUAGGUUAAGGUAGCAGUGAAUUGUAUCCUGGAUCUGUUAUCAGUGAA
This is a long non-coding RNA of Panicum hallii, 814 nucleotides long. RefSeq lists it as uncharacterized. The record is from RefSeq and is a predicted model, not a curated record. The transcript has 4 exons. NCBI's taxonomy places the organism in Eukaryota, Viridiplantae, Streptophyta, Magnoliopsida, Poales, Poaceae.